AUCCGGGUGACGAGUCCCAAAUAGGAAGAAACGCGCUUCCUGGAU
Non-coding RNA from Schistosoma rodhaini, 45 nucleotides. Lineage: Eukaryota; Metazoa; Platyhelminthes; Trematoda; Strigeidida; Schistosomatidae. The record is from Rfam.